GACGAACGCUGGCGGCGUGCCUAAUACAUGCAAGUAGAACGCUGAAGGAGGAGCUUGCUUCUCUGGAUGAGUUGCGAACGGGUGAGUAACGCGUAGGUAACCUGCCUGGUAGCGGGGGAUAACUAUUGGAAACGAUAGCUAAUACCGCAUAAUAGUAGAUGUUGCAUGACAUUUGCUUAAAAGGUGCAAUUGCAUCACUACCAGAUGGACCUGCGUUGUAUUUGCUAGUUGGUGGGGUAACGGCUCACCAAGGCGACGAUACAUAGCCGACCUGAGAGGGUGAGCAGCCACACUGAGAGUGAGACACGGCCCAGACUCCUACGGGAAGCAGCAGUAGGGAAUCUUCGGCAAUGGACGGAAGUCUGACCGAGCAACGCCGAGUGAGUGAGGAGGGUUUUCGGAUCGGAAAGCACUGUUGUAAGAGAAGAACGAGUGUGAGAGUGGAAAGUUCACACUGUGACGGUAUCUUAUCAGAAAGGAACGGCUAACUACGUG
RNAcentral lists this ribosomal RNA (495 nucleotides) under uncultured bacterium. RNAcentral's name for it is "partial 16S ribosomal RNA". It matches the Rfam family "Bacterial small subunit ribosomal RNA", at positions 28 to 507 of the family's 1533-position model. The record is from RNAcentral.